UAUGUCAUAUUUGCCCCUAACUAGAGCAGCCAUGACACGGGCAAAGAAGGGGCUGAGCCAGGGAUAGAGCGCUACCGUGGUGCCGAGGCGUGGAUGUCACCACCUCUUUGAGGUGCGCGCAACCAUCACCGUUGUGAGGGCCGCGGAAGUAGGUGUCAGGGUGCAGGCACAUAUGGAGGAGAUCGGGGGUGGGGGGGCGGGACGGGGAUGACGAGAUAAGAAAAUAGAAGAAAUAGAAAAUUGAGAAAGAAAAGGAAAAAAAGGAUAAUAUAGUCUUUGGUCCACCAUUAAAGCCAUAUAUUUUGCCUCUAGAAUAGAUUUAGCUUCACCAAAAAAAUUGCUCAUGAAGCUAAAGCCCUAAAAGCCAAC
This 369-nucleotide long non-coding RNA is filed under the name Sorghum bicolor (sorghum). RNAcentral's name for it is "long non-coding RNA (SBIC_LNC004112)". The record is from RNAcentral. Lineage: Eukaryota; Viridiplantae; Streptophyta; Magnoliopsida; Poales; Poaceae.